CAGCUAUGAUGAAUUUUAUUCCAAUCAUUCGCAGUUUCCACCAUAAAGACUUUGUCUUAAUGAUGGCUGAAGAUCCUUCCUUGGAUGUCUGAGCUG
This 96-nucleotide small nucleolar RNA is filed under the name Strongylocentrotus purpuratus (purple sea urchin). RNAcentral's name for it is "small nucleolar RNA SNORD14". It matches the Rfam family "Small nucleolar RNA SNORD14". From Rfam's summary of the family: U14 small nucleolar RNA (U14 snoRNA) is required for early cleavages of eukaryotic precursor rRNAs. In yeasts, this molecule possess a stem-loop region (known as the Y-domain) which is essential for function. A similar structure, but with a different consensus sequence, is found in plants, but is absent in vertebrates. Lineage: Eukaryota; Metazoa; Echinodermata; Echinoidea; Camarodonta; Strongylocentrotidae. The record is from Rfam by way of RNAcentral.